RNAcentral lists this ribosomal RNA (837 nucleotides) under uncultured archaeon. RNAcentral describes it as "bacterial SSU rRNA". It matches the Rfam family "Archaeal small subunit ribosomal RNA", at positions 85 to 922 of the family's 1478-position model. The record is from RNAcentral.
ACGGCUCAGUAACACGUAGCUAACCUACCCUUAGGACGAGGACAACCCCGAGAAAUUGGGGCUAAUCCGCGAUAGGUGUGAUGUCCUGGAAUGGUAUCACGCCCAAAGGUGUUCGCACGCCUAAGGAUGGGGCUGCGGCCGAUCAGGCAGUUGGUGAGGUAACGGCUCACCAAACCUUUGACCGGUACGGGCCAUGAGAGUGGUAGCCCGGAGAUGGACACUGAGACAAGGGUCCAGGCCCUACGGGGCGCAGCAGGCGCGAAACCUCCUCAAUGCACACACGUGCGAAGGGGUUACCUCGAGUGCCGCCUGAAGAAGGCGGCUUUUCCGUGGUCUAAAAAGCCUAGGGAAUAAGAGGGGGGCAAGACUGGUGUCAGCCGCCGCGGUAACACCAGCCCCUCGAGUGGUGGGGAUGAUUAUUUGGCCUAAAGCGUCCGUAGCCGGCCGGAUAAGUCUCCCGUUAAAUCCAGCGUCUCAAGCGUUGGACUGCGGGAGAUACUGUCUGGCUAGAGAGUGGGAGAGGUAUACGGUAUUCUGGGGGUAGGGGCGAAAUCCAUUGAUCCCCGGAGGACCACCAGUGGCGAAGGCUGUAUACUAGAACACGUCUGACGGUCAGGGACGAAAGCUGGGGUAGCGAACCGGAUUAGAUACCCGGGUAGUCCCAGCCGUAAACGAUGCACGCUAGGUGUUGGGUUGGCCACGUGCCGCCCCAGUGCCGCAGGGAAGCCAUUAAGCGUGCCGCCUGGGGAGUACGGCCGCAAGGCUGAAACUUAAAGGAAUUGGCGGGGGAGCACCACCAGGCGUGAAGCCUGCGGUUUAAUUGGAUUCAACGCCGGA